GUCCACGCCGUAAACGAUGAUAACUAGCUGUCCGGGUUCAUAGAACUUGGGUGGCGCAGCUAACGCAUUAAGUUAUCCGCCUGGGGAGUACGGUCGCAAGAUUAAAACUCAAAGGAAUUGACGGGGGCCUGCACAAGCGGUGGAGCAUGUGGUUUAAUUCGAAGCAACGCGCAGAACCUUACCAGCCUUUGACAUCCUCUGACGAAUCAGGAGACUGAUUUUUCCUUCGGGACAGAGUGACAGGUGCUGCAUGGCUGUCGU
Molecule: ribosomal RNA, 261 nt
Filed under: uncultured bacterium
Lineage: Bacteria
Description: partial 16S ribosomal RNA
Rfam family: Bacterial small subunit ribosomal RNA
Source: RNAcentral